AUGCUAUCGGGGUCCGAUUCAGCCAUGCUAGUUGUACGGGUUUAGACCCGUAGCAAAUAGCUCCGUAACACGUGGUCAAACUACCCUCUGGACCGGAAUACCCUCGGGAAACUGAGGCUAAUUCCGGAUACUGCUUUCAUGUUGGAACACAGAAAGUCGGAAACGGUCCGCCGCCGGAGGACGUGACUGCGGCCGAUUAGGUAGACGGUGGGGUAACGGCCCACCGUGCCGAUAAUCGGUACGGGUUGUGAGAGCAAGAACCCGGAGACGGUAUCUGAGACAAGAUACCGGGCCCUACGGGGCGCAGCAGGCGCGAAACCUUUACACUGCACGCCAGUGCGAUAAGGGGACCCCGAGUGCGAGGGCAUACAGUCCUCGCUUUUCGUGACCGUAAGAAGGUCUCAGAAUAAGAGCUGGGCAAGACCGGUGCCAGCCGCCGCGGUAAUACCGGCAGCUCGAGUGAUAGCCACUAUUAUUGGGCCUAAAGCGUCCGUAGCCGGCCGAACAGGUCCGUCGGGAAAUCCACCCGCUCAACGGGUGGACGUCCGGCGGAAACCAGUCGGCUUGGGGCCGGGAGACCAGAGAGGUACGUCCGGGGUAGGAGUGAAAUCCCGUAAUCCUGGACGGACCGCCGGUAGCGAAAGCGUCUCUGGAGAACGGACCCGACGGUGAGGGACGAAAGCUUGGGUCUCGAACCGGAUUAGAUACCCGGGUAGUCCAAGCUGUAAACGAUGCUCGCUAGGUGUGGCGUUGGCUACGAGCCAGCGCUGUGCCGUAGGGAAGCCGAGAAGCGAGCCGCCUGGGAAGUACGUCCGCAAGGAUGAAACUUAAAGGAAU
RNAcentral lists this ribosomal RNA (837 nucleotides) under Halococcus thailandensis. RNAcentral describes it as "bacterial SSU rRNA". It matches the Rfam family "Archaeal small subunit ribosomal RNA", at positions 27 to 865 of the family's 1478-position model. Lineage: Archaea; Methanobacteriati; Methanobacteriota; Halobacteria; Halobacteriales; Halococcaceae. The record is from RNAcentral.